RNAcentral lists this ribosomal RNA (352 nucleotides) under uncultured bacterium. RNAcentral's name for it is "bacterial SSU rRNA". It matches the Rfam family "Bacterial small subunit ribosomal RNA", at positions 917 to 1267 of the family's 1533-position model. The record is from RNAcentral.
GGACCCGCACAAGUAGUGGAGCAUGUGGUUUAAUUCGAAGAUACGCGCAGAACCUUACCAACACUUGACAUGUUCGUCGCGACUUUAAGAGAUUAAAGUUUUCGGUUCGGCCGGACGAAACACAGGUGCUGCAUGGCUGUCGUCAGCUCGUGUCGUGAGAUGUUGGUUAAGUCCCGCAACGAGCGCAACCCUCACUUUUAGUUGCCAUCAUUAAGUUGGGCACUCUGAAAGAACUGCCAGUGAUAAGCUGGAGGAAGGUGGGGAUGACGUCAAGUCCUCAUGGCCCUUACGUGUUGGGCUACACACGUGCUACAAUGGUAUCUACAACAGGAAGCAAGACGGCGACGUUAAG